UUAGAGUUUGAUCCUGGCUCAGGAUGAACGCUAGCGGCAGGCUUAACACAUGCAAGUCGAGGGGCAGCAUGUCCAGCAAUGGAUGAUGGCGACCGGCGGAAGGGUGCGUAACGCGUGAGCAACAUGCCCUAUACAGGGAGAUACACCAGGGAAACUUGGUCUAAUAUCCCAUAGCAUUCAUUGAAGGCAUCUUUAAUGAAUUAAAGCUUCGGUGGUAUAGGAUUGGCUCGCGUGACAUUAGCCAGAUGGUGAGGUAACGGCUCACCAUAGCAAUGAUGUCUAGGGGUUUUGAGAGGAAGGCCCCCCACACUGGGACUGAGACACGGCCCAGACUCCUACGGGAGGCAGCAGUGAGGAAUAUUGGACAAUGGAUGGAAAUCUGGUCCAGCCAUGCCGCGUGCAGGAAGACGGCCUUAUGGGUUGUAAACUGCUUUUAUACGGGAGCAAUAAGGGUUACGAGUAAUCCGAUGAGAGUACUGUAUGAAUAAGGAUCGGCUAACUCCGUGCCAGCAGCCGCGGUAAUACGGAGGAUCCGAGCGUUAUCCGGAAUUAUUGGGUUUAAAGGGUGCGUAGGCGGCCAUUUAAGUCAGCGGUGAAAUUUUGCAGCUUAACUGUAACAGUGCCGUUGAUACUGUUUGGCUAGGAUUUGGUUGUAGUGUGCGGAAUGUGUGGUGUAGCGGUGAAAUGCUUAGAUAUCACACAGAACACCGAUUGCGAAGGCAGCACACUAAGUCAUUAUUGACGCUGAGGCACGAAAGUGUGGGGAUCAAACAGGAUUAGAUACCCUGGUAGUCCACACUGU
This 802-nucleotide ribosomal RNA is filed under the name uncultured bacterium. Its description in RNAcentral is "bacterial SSU rRNA". It matches the Rfam family "Bacterial small subunit ribosomal RNA", at positions 1 to 803 of the family's 1533-position model. The record is from RNAcentral.